RNAcentral lists this long non-coding RNA (247 nucleotides) under Elaeis guineensis (African oil palm). Its description in RNAcentral is "long non-coding RNA (EGUI_LNC068570)". The record is from RNAcentral. Lineage: Eukaryota; Viridiplantae; Streptophyta; Magnoliopsida; Arecales; Arecaceae.
CGGUAUUGUUUGACUGAAGGAUUGAAAUGCAUGGUAACUUACCAUUGAAAAAUAUUUUUGAUAUUUUCAUCAAAUUUUAUCUCUUUUGAAUAGUCAUGACAUAUUGCUAGAUGUCAAUCUUGACUUAUGAACUCACAAGAACUAAAAAAAAUUAAUUUAAGAAUUAAUUAGAAAGAGUUUUAGUUAAUUGGUUCAAUUGGGCUGACUUAGUCUAAUCAGAUUAGAGUUAGGUCAAGAGCCUGAGUCC